Molecule: long non-coding RNA, 942 nt
Organism: Gymnogyps californianus (California condor)
Lineage: Eukaryota; Metazoa; Chordata; Aves; Accipitriformes; Cathartidae
Exons: 4
Source: RefSeq, a predicted model, not a curated record
UGGCAGAGCAGUGAUACAAGUCUGUAGUAGGCAUCCCAUAUGGUUAAAUGAACACUCCACAAGUACAGUGAUUGCUUGUCUUCUGAUGUACCUGUACAGCAUCCCCAGGAAGGAGAUACGUGAUUUGGGAGUUGUGAUUCUAGUGGAUUCACGGAAAUGCCAGCCUGUUUCUUCUCUUUUCAAAGCAUUAACAGCAAUGCAGAUAAAACUGUGAUUUGAAAAUGAGCAAGAGAAAUAUCUUGGCUCUUUAGAUCAAGAAGGACUUUCACUGGAAAAAGUGAGAAAGUUGCAAGAAGAUUUCUGGGUUUUGAUUGACAAGGCAAAGCAAUACUAUGGGAAAGGAGUGCAACUGGUGCAAGGCAAUCAUUCAUUAAAUAUGGAAGAAAAAGUUCAAAUCUUUGAGAAAUAACUGAGUAACAUUAUCAUUCAGACAGAGAGGAGGAAGACUGAGCUGACAAAACUAGUCAAUUUGUAUGAGUUUUAUGAGAUGGUAAGAGAAUUGUGUUUGCGUCUAUGCCUUAAGCUAGGCUUCGUUGAAUAUAAGAGGAAUCACGGAGUGACAACAGGCAAACUGGUGUUACAUGGCAGUCCCAUACAGUCUCUUGAAGAAUUAAAAUUAGAAUUUGGACAAAUAAACAGGGUAUUUAACUGUUAUCAUAGAACAGCAAGGAGCAGAUAAUUCAGAGUUCCUGUUGUGGAAUCCCAAAGAAUCAAUUGUGUGACAAGCAGGAGCUGUAUUAAGAGUCAUGUAAAAUUUUCAGCUCAACCGGUUUUCAGCUGAAUUAGACAAACUUUCUCUAAUGGCUGCAUACAGCAUCUCUCCUCUCUGUGCAAGUACACAUGCAGAAUUUUGAGAAACCUGCACCGUGUACUGUUUCUCAUGUUCUAUCUAAAUAUAUGAUCUCCAUGCAUAUAUGCCUUGCUAGCCAGCAAUUUUGGUCA